AUUGAACGCUGGCGGCAUGCCUUACACAUGCAAGUCGAACGGUAACAGGUUAAGCUGACGAGUGGCGAACGGGUGAGUAAUAUAUCGGAACGUGCCCAGUCGUGGGGGAUAACGUAGCGAAAGCUACGCUAAUACCGCAUACGAUCUACGGAUGAAAGCGGGGGAUCGCAAGACCUCGCGCGAUUGGAGCGGCCGAUAUCAGAGUAGGUUGUUGGUGAGGUAAAAGCUCACCAAGCCUGCGAUCUGUAGCUGGUCUGAGAGGACGACCAGCCACACUGGAACUGAGACACGGUCCAGACUCCUACGGGAGGCAGCAGUGGGGAAUUUUGGACAAUGGACGCAAGUCUGAUCCAGCAAUGCCGCGUGCAGGACGAAGGCCUUCGGGUUGUACACUGCUUUUGUACGGAACGAAACGGUGAGCUCUAAUACAGUUUGCUAAUGACGGUACCGUAAGAAUAAGCACCGGCUAACUACGUGCCAGCAGCCGCCGUAA
Molecule: ribosomal RNA, 493 nt
Filed under: uncultured bacterium
Lineage: Bacteria
Description: partial 16S ribosomal RNA
Rfam family: Bacterial small subunit ribosomal RNA
Source: RNAcentral